Molecule: ribosomal RNA, 446 nt
Filed under: uncultured bacterium
Lineage: Bacteria
Description: partial 16S ribosomal RNA
Rfam family: Bacterial small subunit ribosomal RNA
Source: RNAcentral
CCUACGGGAGGCUGCAGUCGAGAAUCAUUCACAAUGGGGGAAACCCUGAUGGUGCGACGCCGCGUGGGGGAAUGAAGGUCUUCGGAUUGUAAACCCCUGUCAUGGGGGAGCAAAUUAAAAAGAUAGUACCACAAGAGGAAGAGACGGCUAACUCUGGGCCAGCAGCCGCGGUAAUACAGAGGGCUCAAGCGUUGUUCGGAUUCACUGGGCGUAAAGCGUGCGUAGGCGGUUUCGUAAGUCGGGAGUGAAAGGCGCGGGCUCAACCCGCGGACGGCACAUGAUACUGCGAGACUAGAGUACUGGAGGGGGAAGCGGAAUUCUCGGUGUAGCAGUGAAAUGCGUAGAUAUCGGGAGGAACACUAGUGGCGAAGGCGGGUUCCUGGACAUUAACUGACGUUGAGGCACGAAGGCCAGGGGAGCGAAAGGGAUUAGAUACCCGAGUAGUC